This 3153-nucleotide long non-coding RNA is filed under the name Sus scrofa (pig). Its description in RNAcentral is "lncRNA (ENSSSCG00035036257.1)". The record is from RNAcentral. Lineage: Eukaryota; Metazoa; Chordata; Mammalia; Artiodactyla; Suidae.
AUGUUCCCAACCAACGGAAUUUCAGUAACUCCUGGGUUUGCUCCUAACCCAAAGCUGCUUCUUUAUGCGUGUAAGGAAUUACUGAAGGAACCAACCCCAGUAAGGAGCCUCAGGUCCCAAAAAAGGCUCUUGGGGACCGUGCAGCCGUGUUCCACAAGGCUGGUUCCCUGGCAGCGGCCCUUGGCGGGGACGUGGGAGCCCGUGGCGGGGUGCCUUCCACCCUCACAGCCGCAGAGGAGGGACUGGCAGCAGAGGCCGCAGCAGGCCUGCAGCAGCAGCAGCAGCAGCAGCAGCAGCAGCAGCAGCAGCAGCAGCGGGAGGCUGGUCCCAGCGCAGACCCCAGGCCAGCGAAGCCCGGGAGGCAGAGCUACAGACGACAAGGGCGGUGCAAAGAUUUCCGUCUGUCUGCGAAGGGUUGAGGGGGAGCCUCCCAGAGGGCAGGGAAAAGAGCUCAAUUACUCACCGCCCUCGGCCGCUCUGACUGAUUUCUGCCUUCGCUUCUGCUCUUUAAUUGAUUAUAAACUAACCAGAAAUCCCCAGGGAGCCCUCAGCCUCUGCUGAGGUAGCCGUUGGGUUGGGGCACCGUCACAAGCCGAGGAUUUUGUGGCUGAAAGGUAUAGCGAGUGACCCGGGGCUGGCCGGCUGUGUGACGCACUCCAGCAUACAUCGGAUGACUCAUAGAAGUCAGAUGGAAAAGACCCAUUAGGUCAUUUUUUCCAUCUCCCAGCCAUUGCAGGUUUGCUCUCUGCCAAGGUGGGAUUAUAUUCAAAUAUUUGGUCCAGUCUCGUUUGAACGGAUUCGAGUAAUAGGCUCCCACAACCUCCCCAGGGACCUUAAUUCCACAGGAUCAUUGAUCUCAGUCUUCGGAAAAUGUUCCUGAGGUUCACUUUAAAUUUUCCUUUGCUCAAUUUCAUCCCAUUAAUCCUACUUAUUACCCCUCAGGCCACCCUAAAUAAUAUCCCUUCUUCUUUCAUGUUGACAGUCCUCCAAUCCUGGGGUGGGGGGCGGGGGGCAGAUACAAAAAUGUCUUCUUGGCUGGGCUCGCGGCCCUAAGUAUGAAAUGAAGACUAGAAGUAUUCUGAAUAAUAGCUUACCGUGUUGGGGGGACGAUGUGUGUCCGAUGAGAAAGGGUUUUCCAGAUUGCCCAAGAAUUGUUCAGACAAUCAAUGGCAGGUGUUUCUGGGUCUGACUUUACAUUCGAAAGAGUCUGAGCAGGACAGCAGCAAAGGAGAGAGCCCGGGACCUGUCAUACUGUCCCCCAACGUGGAUAAUGGGCCACUGUCCUCAUAGCCUGGGGGGAGAUGAUUCUGUAUAAUCCUCUGAUUAUUUUUCUGCUGAGGGCAGGAAUCACUUCAAAGAGCAAACAUCUACCUGAGUCAACUUCUCUGAGCAUAAAUGUCCCUCCCUCUGGCCCGGGUCGUGGCAGACGUGACAGCUGGGGAGUCAGCCGCAACCCGAGUGGCCGCCAGGGUGGGAACCUGCCGCCAGGGUGGGGCUACCGACAAUACAAAUUCUCGGGGUCCAUCUCAGACCCACUGUGAUUCAGAAUCGAUGUCCAAAGCCUAGCGACCUACGUUUUUAACAAGUUUCAUAACAUUUGAAAGGCACAGACCUUGGGGUAACUCUAAUCCCACAGCAUUUGAGAGCAUCUUGGAUGAAACUGGGGAACCUCAGCUUUUGCAUCCGAAGUGCAAGAGUUCGGCUGGCGAUGAGACAGAAGUCAGGAGUCAGGGAGGAAGUCAGUCCACAACUGAGAGCAGGAGUUGGCACUGUGGCUCGGGGCGUUAAGAACCCAACACGGUGUCUGUGGGGAUACGGGUUCAAUCUCUGGCCUUGCCCAGUGUGUUACGGAUCCAGUGUUGCUGCAAGCUGCAGCCUAGCUCACAGAUGCAGCUCAGAUCUGGCGUGACUGUGGCUGUGGUGUAGGCAGCUCUGAUUUGACCCCUCGCCUGGGAACUUCCAUAUCUGCACAUGAGGCCUUAAAAAGGAAAAAAAAGAAAAGAAAAAGAAAGAAGAGAAAAAAAGAAAAAGACUGAGAGCCAAGUGGAGAGGGCGAGCAAUUGUUGUUAGAAACCAAAGUGGGAGUUCCCGUCGUGGCGCAGUGGUUAACGAAUCCGACUAGGAACCAUGAGGUUGCGGGUUCGGUCCCUGCCCUUGCUCAGUGGGUUAAGGAUCCGGCGUUGCCGUGAGCUGUGGUGUAGGUUGCAGACGCGGCUCGGAUCCUGCGUUGCUGUGGCUCUGGCGUAGGCUGGUGGCUACAGCUCCGAUUCGACCCCUAGCCUGGGAACCUCCAUAUGCCGUGGGAGCGGCCCAAAGAAAUAGCAAAAAGACAAAAAAAAAAAAAAGAAACCAAAGUGGAGCAUGCAGGGUCUGAACGCAUUGGCUCAUCAGGGCAUGGCCAUUAACAGGAUACAAGGUCUGGCUGGACCCUGGCCUGUUUGAAUGGGGGUCUGUGCUAGAAUUGCCCACUUCUUCACUUGUUGUUUGAGGGUUAAGGCAAAUGCAUCAUACAGGUGUCCCUUGCUUUAUUGCACUUUGCUGCAUGGCGCCUCACAGACAGUGAGUCUUUGACAAAGUGAAGGUUUGUGGCCAGUCUCUCGGUGCCAUGUUUUCAACAACAUUUGCUGACAGUGUAUCUCCGUGUCAGCACCUGAUAAUUUUGGAGAUACUUCCGAUGUUUUCAUUAUUAUUGUCUUUGUUGUAGUGCUGUGAGAUUAGUGAUCUUUGAUUCGUUUCUAUUGCAACUGUUUUGGGGAGCCCCACACAAGGCACUCACAGAAGACAGCAAAUGGAAUCCGUCGUUGACAGCACAGAAUUUAGACUGUGACACUGAAGGUUGUAUUCGUUGAUAUGAUAAUAUAAUUAUGAAAUUAGUUGAUAUAAUAAUAAUUGACAAUCAACAAUGUAUGAGUUGAUAAGGCAGAGACAGGGUUUGAGAGCACUGACUGCACUUUUGAAAGAAGUCCCGCUGAGGUGAAGUGGUACAAAUCACCACUGCGCAUUACAGAGGGCAGGGCAGGCCAAGAUUUCACAGGACGCCAGAAAAGUACCAGCCAUUAAAGGCAAAAAAAGUUGAUUACUAAGCUACCAGCAAGUACCACUAUAAAUACCAUUAUAAGAGCUAAAAUAAAAAGACCAUUUCAAAUUUGAACA